GAUUAAUACCGCAUAAGAUUGUAGUAUCGCAUGAUAUAGCAAUUAAAGGAGCAAUUCGCUAUAAGAUGGACCCGCGUCGCAUUAGCUAGUUGGUGAGGUAAUGGCUCACCAAGGCGACGAUGCGUAGCCGACCUGAGAGGGUGAUCGUCCACAUUGGGACUGAGACACGGCCCAGACUCCUACGGGAGGCAGCAUG
RNAcentral lists this ribosomal RNA (196 nucleotides) under uncultured bacterium. RNAcentral's name for it is "partial 16S ribosomal RNA". It matches the Rfam family "Bacterial small subunit ribosomal RNA", at positions 161 to 353 of the family's 1533-position model. The record is from RNAcentral.